CUUUGUUUAUCCAAAUAAAAAGCAUGAAUUGAAAUCAGGUAAACAAAUUGCUUUUAAUUUUUUUUUUUCAGAACUGGUAACACAUCAUUGUUGUUGCCAAUCAUUUGGAAAUUUGAAGUACGUGUUUAGUGGAAAAUUGACAAUUUAAAAACACCUGGAAGUACAAAUAGAUGACAUGGCUAAUGCAGCUAUCUGUUUUAACCUGUGUAAUUAUAAAUGGCAAUAAAAAUCCAAAUCCCUUGUGUUGGAGGGUGGGACCAAUGUUAAGAUCAAGUUUCUCACCGUCUUCAGUACUUGUAUGAGGAUUGUGGAAAAUUCCUAGUCAAUGGGAAAAAUCUGCAUUGGUCAGAGUAGCAUUGCCUGCAAGAAAGAAGGAUCCAAAACUUCUUGGCUGCUUGCUCUUCAGUGACCAAGUAACAAACAGUGAAGCAGGAGCAUUGCUUCAGAAUGGGAAGCUGUACUAACAAGUCAGAAGAGAAGGCUAAAAUUGAAGUGAUCUUGAAACUCUACUGCAUUGCCUACAGGUAACACCAACAGAAGGAUGGCCAUGUGAGGGCUGUAGU
Molecule: long non-coding RNA, 563 nt
Filed under: Calidris pugnax (ruff)
Lineage: Eukaryota; Metazoa; Chordata; Aves; Charadriiformes; Scolopacidae
Description: lncRNA (ENSCPUG00000015821.1)
Source: RNAcentral